GUGCUCAGUUCAGCAGCACAUAUACUAAAAUUGGAACAAUAUAGAGAAGAUUAGCAUGGCCCCUACGCAAGGAUGACACGCAAAUUCGUGAAGUGUAUUUUCUUCAU
RNAcentral lists this small nuclear RNA (107 nucleotides) under Prolemur simus (greater bamboo lemur). Lineage: Eukaryota; Metazoa; Chordata; Mammalia; Primates; Lemuridae. The record is from RNAcentral.